AGAGUUUGAUCAUGGCUCAGAGCGAACGCUGGCGGCAGGCCUAACACAUGCAAGUCGAACGCAUCCUUCGGGGUGAGUGGCGGACGGGUGAGUAACACGUGGGAACGUGCCCUUUGGUUCGGAAUAACUCAGGGAAACUUGAGCUAAUACCGGAUAAGCUACGGGGAAAGAUUUAUCGCCAUUGGAGCGGCCCGCGUCUG
RNAcentral lists this ribosomal RNA (200 nucleotides) under uncultured bacterium. Its description in RNAcentral is "partial 16S ribosomal RNA". It matches the Rfam family "Bacterial small subunit ribosomal RNA", at positions 8 to 239 of the family's 1533-position model. The record is from RNAcentral.